RNAcentral lists this transfer RNA (74 nucleotides) under Xenopus laevis (African clawed frog). It matches the Rfam family "tRNA". From Rfam's summary of the family: Transfer RNA (tRNA) molecules are approximately 80 nucleotides in length. Their secondary structure includes four short double-helical elements and three loops (D, anti-codon, and T loops). Lineage: Eukaryota; Metazoa; Chordata; Amphibia; Anura; Pipidae. The record is from Rfam by way of RNAcentral.
GCCGCUGUGGCUUAGUUGGUUAAAGCACUUCUCUUGUAAACAUGAGAUCUUGAGUUCAACUCUCGGCAGUGCCU